CAGCGGGUGGAGGAAGUGCAGGAUACAGCCUCCAGUCGAGUUCCCUCACGGUCGCGCAUAACCCACGGCCAAGCUGCUCCAACUAGCUUCACAGAAGCCUCCUCGUGUGGUGGCAGGAUGCUAAACACGCGGGAAAUGACCAGAUCCCAUGGAUCUAGCCUCAACUGCUCUCUUCUACAGUGGUGAUCGGCCAACCGCGACGCACAAAAGGCUCGGACCUCCCUUCAUCUCAUGCUCCUCACACAUAGAUGACACAAAGCUUAUGAUAUCAAGACCCGGAGCUCGCGGGUAAACCACAGCCCACUUCCCUCGCUCACCCCCUCGUCCACCCCCUCACCCCUUCCUGUUCGCAGCCUAGACCGCUCACAACUCACCCUCACCAUUGUGUACAUUCCUCGCGCAUGUGGGCAUAGCUGGCCACACUCGAAACUCCCGCUCAUAACCCCUACUGUUUGCGUCUCUCACCCCUUUACAAUAGCAUCCUUGGCCGCACGCCUCCACUUCUCUCCCUUGCACCACGGCCUUAGCCGCUCGUGCAUCUUCCUCUCUUCAUCUCCUCUCAUAUUCUCCUCCUCCACUUGUGGCAUAAUACCACUCACAACUCUUCUCUUCCUCUCCUCUCCUCUCUUUCUCUUCUUUCCCUUUUCCCACUUUUCUUUUCUUUUUUUCUUCUUGGUGGAGAUUGCGGUCACAUGAUCUCCUCCUACUCUUCUACUUGCAGUAACCACCCCAAGCGGUUACCUUCUUUCUUCUCCUUCCUUCUUCUCCCUUUCUUCUUCUCUCUUCAGCACGCUAGUGGCCACAACUACUCGCAGCUAACUCCCUCACCCGCUCGCAUUUGCCCUGCUGUGAGCACCACCUUAUCCUCUCAUCUCUCAACCUCUUUCCCUUCUUCUUCCUUCUUCUGUUUCUCCUCUUCUUCCUUCCUGUGCGAGAUCGCCACUAGGCGAUUUCUCUUUUUUUCCUCUCAGGCUCAUGGUUGUGCCACUGCGCCACCUUCUUUUAAUUGAGAUUGGGCGAAAGUGAUCUCAUAUAUU
RNAcentral lists this long non-coding RNA (1037 nucleotides) under Carica papaya (papaya). Its description in RNAcentral is "long non-coding RNA (CPAP_LNC002090)". Lineage: Eukaryota; Viridiplantae; Streptophyta; Magnoliopsida; Brassicales; Caricaceae. The record is from RNAcentral.